RNAcentral lists this ribosomal RNA (497 nucleotides) under uncultured bacterium. RNAcentral describes it as "partial 16S ribosomal RNA". It matches the Rfam family "Bacterial small subunit ribosomal RNA", at positions 28 to 507 of the family's 1533-position model. The record is from RNAcentral.
GUUGAACGCUGGCGGCGUGCCUAAUACAUGCAAGUCGAGCGAACGGACGAGAAGCUCUCUUCUCUGAUGUUAGCGGCGGAUGGGUGAGUACUACGUGGCUAACCUACCUAUAAGACUGGGAUAACGUCGGGAACCCUGAUCUCAUAUCCGUUGAUAUUUUGAACGUCAUGGUUCAAAAGUGAAAGACGUUUUAGCUGACCCUCAUAGAUGGUACCGCGCUGCAUUAGCUAGUUGGUAAGGUAACGGCUUACCAAGGCAACGAUGCAUAGCCGACCUGAGAGGGUGAUCGGCCACACUGGAACUGAGACACGGUCCAGACUCCUACGGGAGGCAGCAGUAGGGAAUCUUCCGCAAUGGGCGAAAGCCUGACGGAGCAACGCCGCGUGAGUGAUGAAGGUCUUCGGAUCGUAAAACUCUGUUAUUAGGGAAGAACAUAUGUGUAAGUAACUGUGCACAUCUUGACGGUACCUAAUCAGAAAGCCACGGCUAACUACGUG